CGGAGUUGAAUGCAUUCCUCUGUGUCGUGACCGUGGUCACGAUGGUAGAGGCAGAACUUGUUAGGAUUGCGCUUCCCGGGGUGUGUGCGCAUCCUUUCUGGCCUUGGGAGCUGCUCUCUGACCUCCAUCAGCACCUGAGUUUUCGAUGCGUUGAGGGGGGCAUAGCUGCGGAAUCUUCCUGGGGGAGAGCCCCGCCGAACCCUGCGGUCCAGGCUUCUCUGCCUGCGUGCUCGGGGAGGAGUCUGGGUGCGCUUGUGC
RNAcentral lists this long non-coding RNA (258 nucleotides) under Elaeis guineensis (African oil palm). RNAcentral describes it as "long non-coding RNA (EGUI_LNC024573)". Lineage: Eukaryota; Viridiplantae; Streptophyta; Magnoliopsida; Arecales; Arecaceae. The record is from RNAcentral.